CCAUCUCAACACAGCUGUGCCAAUUCUGCAGCUUUAUUCUGAUGAAGCGAGCCUUUGGCAGUCUGAAACAUGCUUGCGCUCUAUUUUCUUCAAGGCCUGAGGGGGACAUCAUUGAGCCAGAGGAUGAGGAAGACCAUGAGGAUGCCCCCCUGAACAACACAACCUUGAAGCAAGAGUGGGUGAACAUGUACCGGACUCACACUGUGUCUGCUCCAAACAUUUGUGUGCCUGCUCUCAAUGAGCAUGACUACCUGUAAAACAUUUAAACAGGUCCUGCUCCACCACAAAAGCUCUGCAGCAAA
Molecule: long non-coding RNA, 302 nt
Organism: Sinocyclocheilus anshuiensis
Lineage: Eukaryota; Metazoa; Chordata; Actinopteri; Cypriniformes; Cyprinidae
Exons: 3
Source: RefSeq, a predicted model, not a curated record